Molecule: small nucleolar RNA, 323 nt
Organism: Pelecanus crispus (Dalmatian pelican)
Lineage: Eukaryota; Metazoa; Chordata; Aves; Pelecaniformes; Pelecanidae
Source: Rfam
GCUCAAUGAUGACAUAAAGGCUAAUGUGACUUGACCAGCUGGGUUGCACCCUCAGCCCAUUCCAGUAAUACGGGUCUGUAAUCUUGGUGGACAAUGCAGAGCUGUGCGUGUUCACUGUAAGGGCAGGCCGACAGAAAAUCCCCUUCCCCGCAUCCCUGGAAAAUACAUUUUUGGGAUGCAUCAGCUCUGAGUGAGUGUUUCUGUGAGCUGACGGGGGGCUGUGGGGAUAGGAUAGGAUAGUGCGUCCAAGGUUUGGGUUGUAGGGGGUAGCCCAUGUCACAGCUGGUGAGAUGUGAGCACACAUCUUUGGUAAUCUGAUGACU